This 24-nucleotide non-coding RNA is filed under the name Arabidopsis thaliana (thale cress). Lineage: Eukaryota; Viridiplantae; Streptophyta; Magnoliopsida; Brassicales; Brassicaceae. The record is from RNAcentral.
ACUGGAUCUUAUUGAUAUGAAAAA